UACGUAGGGUGCGAGCGUUAAUCGGAUUUACUGGGCGUAAAGCGUGCGCAGGCGGCCCAUUAAGACAGGUGUGAAAUCCCUGGGCUCAACCUAGGAAUUGCGCUUGUGACUGGCGGGCUCGAGUACGGUAGAGGGGGGUGGAAUUCCUGGUGUAGCAGUGAAAUGCGUAGAGAUCAGGAGGAACACCGAUGGCGAAGGCAGCCCCCUGGGCCUGUACUGACGCUCAUGCACGAAAGCGUGGGGAGCAAACAGG
Molecule: ribosomal RNA, 253 nt
Filed under: uncultured microorganism
Description: partial 16S ribosomal RNA
Rfam family: Bacterial small subunit ribosomal RNA
Source: RNAcentral